CCCGAAACCGGUGGAGCAUGUGGUUUAUUCGAAGCACGCGCAGAACCUUACCAACCUUUGACAUGUCCAGUAUGGGCUCCAGAGAUGGGGUUCUUCAGUUCGGCUGGCUGGAACACAGGUGCUGCAUGGCUGUCGUCAGCUCGUGUCGUGAGAUGUUGGGUUAAGUCCCGCAACGAGCGCAACCCUCGCCCUUAGUUGCCAUCAUUGAGUUGGGCACUCUAAGGGGACUGCCGGUGAUAAGCCGCGAGGAAGGUGGGGAUGACGUCAAGUCCUCAUGGCCCUUACAGGUUGGGCUACACACGUGCUACAAUGGCGGUGACAAUGGGCAGCUAAGGGGCGACCUGGAGCUAAUCCCAAAAAGCCGUCUCAGUUCGGAUUGCACUCUGCAACUCGAGUGCAUGAAGGUGGAAUCGCUAGUAAUCGUGGAUCAGAACGCCACGGUGAAUACGUUCCCGGGCCUUGUACACACCGCCCGUCACACCAUGGGAGUUGGUCUUACCCGACGGCGCUGCGCCAACCGCAAGGGGGCAGGCGACCACGGUAGGGUCAGCGACUGGGGUGAAGUCGUAACAAGGUAACCGAA
This 583-nucleotide ribosomal RNA is filed under the name bacterium enrichment culture clone ts0914T. RNAcentral describes it as "bacterial SSU rRNA". It matches the Rfam family "Bacterial small subunit ribosomal RNA", at positions 920 to 1504 of the family's 1533-position model. The record is from RNAcentral.